CGGCAGUCCUGUGGGUGACAACAGCUCAUUGAUGAGAGGUCGGCAGUCCUGUGGGUGACAACAGCUCAUUAAUGAGAGGUCAGCAGUCCUGUGGGUGACAACAGCUCAUUGAUGAGAGGUCGGCAGUCCUGUGGGUGAAACAGCUCAUUGAUGAGAGGUCAGCAGUCCUGUGGGUGACAACAGCUCGGUGAUGAGAGGUCCAAGGAGAACGGCAAGAAUCGUGCAAGCUAACAGGCAAAUAACGGCGCAGUACAACAGUGGUGUGCAGAUAUGCAUCUUGGGAAUGCACAACUCGUAGGUCCUUGUCACGGAUGAGCUGUUGCAGCAGACGACCACACCGGGUUCCUAUCAGAUAAAAACAACAAGAGGCUCCCAGUGGGCACGUGAUCAUCAACACUGGACAACUGAGGAGUGGAAAAGCAGUGCCUGGUCCGACCAAUCCUGGUUCCUGUUGCGUCCUGCUGAUGUCAGGGUUUGGCGUAAGCAGCAUGAGUCCAUGGCCACAUCCUGUCUGGUGUCAACGGUACAGGCUGGUGGUGUAACGGUGUGGGGAAUGUUUUCCUGGCACACGUUAGGGCCCUUGAUACCAAUUGAGCAACGUGCCCAUGCCCCGAAGAAUUCAGGCUGUUCUGGAGGCAGAGGUACUCACUUUGGGUGCUGUUUAUAUUUAAGUGCAGGAACUCUGUAAUACUGUUGAGAUACUAUUCUAGAAUAGAAACAGGAAUUCCAAUACUGUUGAGAUAAUAUUCUGGAAGAGGAACAGGAACUCUGCAAUACUGUUGAGAUAAUAUUCUAGAAGAGGAACAGGAACUCUGUAAUACUGUUGAGAUAAUAUUCUAGAAGAGGGAACAGGAAUUGGACUUCCUGACGGGCCGACCGCAGGCUGUGAGGAUUAGCAUCAGAGGCCCCAGGGGUGUGUCUUCAGUCAUCUGCUGUACUCUCUGUUCACCAACGACUGCAUGGCUUUGCACCACAUCAACUCCCAUCAUCAAGUUUGCAGGCCUGAUAACCAACCUGUCUUACUUAUUGAUGUCAUGUUAAAUCCACUUCAAUCAGUGUAGAUGAAGGGGAGGAGACAGAUUAAAGGAUUUAAGCCUUGAGACAUGGAUUGUGUC
Molecule: long non-coding RNA, 1115 nt
Organism: Oncorhynchus tshawytscha (Chinook salmon)
Lineage: Eukaryota; Metazoa; Chordata; Actinopteri; Salmoniformes; Salmonidae
Source: Ensembl